Callithrix jacchus (white-tufted-ear marmoset) is the source of this 107-nucleotide small nuclear RNA. Lineage: Eukaryota; Metazoa; Chordata; Mammalia; Primates; Cebidae. The record is from Ensembl.
GUGCUCACUUUGGCAGCACAUAUACUAAAAUUGGAAUGAUACAGGGAACAUUAGCAAGGCCCCAGCUCAAGGAUGACAUGCAAUUUCAUGAAGUGCUCCAUAUUUUA